GGUCAUAGUUGACCCACUGUACAAACGAAUGGGAUUUAAAAAAAAUAUCGGUAACGCUUGAAAAGUAUUUUUAGACCAAAGGAAAACAAAUUACGGUGUAAAAAUCGGUCUAACGUUAUUCCUUUCUUACGGGGCCCACUUUGCCCGGACCUCUCUUACUCACAUAUACCACACGUACGCAUACAGGGAUGUAACCUCUUCUCUUGUACUUGAAUCCCACUCUCUCGCAGCUAAAGCCCCGAUCGUAACCACUUGUUUUGUAAUAUGCGUAUGAUGUAUAUGCAGAUACAUACAGCGUACACUAGUAUAAUAGCGGAUGAUGUCUAGGACCACCGUCUAUACUACGGGUGAAUGUAAUCUGUGCAAUCCUUAGCCUCGUUCUCAUCACAAGCCUCUGUCUCGGUUCGGUGGAUUCGGUCAAUUGCUCUCUAACACUCGCAGUCAGCAGAGUGCAGGUUGCUCGUCGUUGUGGCGAAUGAAGAAUCUGAACAAAGAAAAUCGUGUCCUAGGGAUCUUGCUCCUCGUUCUUUGCGAAAACACUGUCACCAAAUGAAAAUUUCUCGUCGAAAGUGUUGAUAGGAUGAAUGACAUGGAUUUCAAGGUAAUUGGAUUGGCGUUGCGUUGGCUUUUGACCAUUUCGGUGCUUGUGCACGGGACUCUCCUACCCGUACGUAUGCUACAAGAGCUGGGUAAGCGCGCCAACGUGUUGAGCGCACGGUACGACCAGAUGGAGGCUGGCAUACUUGCCUCGAAGAUUCACCUGACUCAGGGUACACCUGCUUGGUAUUUAGGAGCAUCACAUACGAUCCUUCCGGAAGUCAGAAAUCUCACGCACAGGGCAAUUCGAUCAGAAACCGUUGCGAUGAUGUUAGUGGCAGCUAUGAAUAUGACACCGCACGAGGCUGUCGCGAUCCUACCUUCAAUGGGACCGGCCGCAUUCGGACUAUGCGACAGCAACUCUGAGGAAUUUUUCGAAAUAAUCGAGAGUUGUGAGAGUACGAUUUGUCCGAGUAGGAUGAAGUACAGAAGCCAGUCGGGUCGGUGUAACAACCCCAAACACUCCAAUUGGGGUACUGCUUUUGAGUCAUAUGUCAGACUCUUGCCGGCUGAAUACGCGGACGGCGUAUCGCUUCCCCGGUUCUUGAAUCUCCCGAGUGCCCGGGAUGUAUCGCUGGGUGUCCACUCAGGUCUACCGGAUCAGCCACAUCCACAUUUGAUGGCCCUGGCGGCGUUAUUCGGUCAGUUCAUCGCGUACGAUUUGUCUCACACACCGAAGGUCGAACUGCCCGACGGAACGAAGCUCAAGUGCUGCGAUGUCAGCUAUGAACACUUUCAUUCCGAGUGCUUUCCUAUAAAGACUGGCGACAACACGGCGACCCACUGUAUGGAGUAUACACGGUCGGCCCCGGAUCCCGGAAACAUCUCCGAGGGCUGUAGGUUAGGGCCGCGACAGCAAAUAAACCAGGCAACAUCAUACCUGGAUCUGUCUUCGGUCUAUGGAAUUUCUGAUUCGAAGACGAGAGUACUGCGCUCAGGUGUCGGAGGCCGCCUGAAAACGCAAAGGAAAAAUUUACCAAUGCCCUCUGCAAUACCGGGCAGCUGUCGGAGUGAUAUCGCAGCGUUUCCGUGCUUUUACAGUGGCGAUGCCCGUGUCAACGAACAUCCGGGUCUCGCUCUCAUACACCUUCUCUUUAUUCGAGAGCACAAUAAGGUGGCAGCUCGACUCGAGUCCCUCAAUUGUCACUGGAAUGAUGACACGUUAUUUGAGGAAGCUCGGCGAAUCGUGAUUGCCCAAUUACAGCACAUCACCUACAACGAAUUCCUGCCAGUUGUCCUAGGCGAGUCUGCGCUUGACAGAUGGAAUCUUCGACUCAAGGUGGAAGGCUUCUUCGGGGGAUAUCAACCGCAGACAGAUGCGACAUUGUCAAACGCGGCUGCUUCCGUGGGUCUUCUUUUCGUCGCAGCAAUCACCCCCAAGACCAUCGAUCUGGUUGAUACGCGAUCGAAAAAGUUCGUCAAGUUUGGCGAAAGAUCUUUACUUUCUUCGUUUUACGCACCGCAGGAACUUUAUGAAGCCGGUGCAAUUGAUCGACUGAUCGCCGGGGUAACAGCUAGCCACUCUAGGAAACCUAUGCCUCCCGGACUCAACGAAAUAUUUCUUGGACGAUACUUCCACGACGGUAAAUCUUCGGAGAAUCCGAUCGAUCUUGUUGCGCAGCUCAUUCAACGCGGCAGGGAUCACGGUCUACCGCCAUAUACGAAGUGGAGGACAUUUUGCGGAAUGCCUGACGUCAGUACCUUCGCGGAUCUCCGUGGUACGAUAUCCGUCGAAGCUAUACGGAGGUUACGCCUCAUAUACGGCUCAUUCGUGAGGACUUUAAAUGCGUUGCCUAGUUUGAGGCGGCGGUUAACAACAUUCCUUCAAUAAGUUACUACGAGUGUCAAGGAUGUCGACCUCGUUACCGGAGCCUUCGCAGAGGCUCCCAUUGAGGGAUCCAUAAUAGGUCCAACAUUUUCAUGUCUACUCGGUCGCACGUUCAGAAAUAUUCGCUUCGGUGACAGAUAUUGGUACGAGAAC
RNAcentral lists this unclassified non-coding RNA (2578 nucleotides) under Neodiprion lecontei (redheaded pine sawfly). Its description in RNAcentral is "peroxidase, transcript variant X4". Lineage: Eukaryota; Metazoa; Arthropoda; Insecta; Hymenoptera; Diprionidae. The record is from RNAcentral.